Molecule: long non-coding RNA, 713 nt
Filed under: Olea europaea subsp. europaea
Lineage: Eukaryota; Viridiplantae; Streptophyta; Magnoliopsida; Lamiales; Oleaceae
Source: RNAcentral
AUUCCAAACACCCUUCUUCAAAAUUCCCUUCUUCUCUCUCAUAAGGAAAACCUAAUCGAGAAAGAAAUUUAUAAUGUGCUAAGACCAUGUUUGUCUAAAAAUAAUUUACUUAUAAGUAAGAAGUAUGUUUUAAAAUAAUUUUUAAAAUGGUGAAGGUUAAUAAGUCACUUAGAGAGGAUAAAUUAAUAGUUAUAUUGAAUAAAGUUAAUCCAAAUUUUUAGUAAAAUAACAUAAAAUUGACUAAUUGAGGCUUGGGCAAACAUGCUCUUAAAUUGAAAUCUCCCAUUUAUAAAGCGCCCCAUUUUCAUCUGAAAUUCUUCUCCAUUUUCUCCAACCGCGCAAAUCGUCUCUAGGCUAGAUUCUCUCCUCAUUAAACCAAAUUCUUUAAUGGAUACAUUGAUAAUCGGUUCAAUUGAGAAUUGGUUGUUAUGUUUUGGCGUUAAUUGUUCUUCAAUUCAUUCUGAAUCCUGCAAUUUUCUUGUUUCUUUAGCUUCUUUUCAUCGUCCAAUUUCUAGUCAUCCUUGUAUCGUUUCUUUUUUGAGUUAAUUAGUUAACAAUAAUCGCCAGUGUAGGUGCGAAGAGCAUAACGACACCAUGGGUAAAAGUAUGUUAUUUAAUUAAUUGAGUUAAUUCGUUAGCGGAAUUUCAUUUUUAGGGUUUCUAUACUUAAUGUUUUAGUUUCUGUUUGAUUUAUUAGCAAUUGAUUGUGGAAG